This 479-nucleotide ribosomal RNA is filed under the name Salmonella enterica. RNAcentral's name for it is "bacterial SSU rRNA". It matches the Rfam family "Bacterial small subunit ribosomal RNA", at positions 1036 to 1515 of the family's 1533-position model. Lineage: Bacteria; Pseudomonadati; Pseudomonadota; Gammaproteobacteria; Enterobacterales; Enterobacteriaceae. The record is from RNAcentral.
AGGUGCUGCAUGGCUGUCGUCAGCUCGUGUUGUGAAAUGUUGGGUUAAGUCCCGCAACGAGCGCAACCCUUAUCCUUUGUUGCCAGCGAUUAGGUCGGGAACUCAAAGGAGACUGCCAGUGAUAAACUGGAGGAAGGUGGGGAUGACGUCAAGUCAUCAUGGCCCUUACGACCAGGGCUACACACGUGCUACAAUGGCGCAUACAAAGAGAAGCGACCUCGCGAGAGCAAGCGGACCUCAUAAAGUGCGUCGUAGUCCGGAUUGGAGUCUGCAACUCGACUCCAUGAAGUCGGAAUCGCUAGUAAUCGUGGAUCAGAAUGCCACGGUGAAUACGUUCCCGGGCCUUGUACACACCGCCCGUCACACCAUGGGAGUGGGUUGCAAAAGAAGUAGGUAGCUUAACCUUCGGGAGGGCGCUUACCACUUUGUGAUUCAUGACUGGGGUGAAGUCGUAACAAGGUAACCGUAGGGGAACCUGC